UGGGGAAUUUUGGACAAUGGGGGAAACCCUGAUCCAGCCAUCCCGCGUGUGCGAUGAAGGCCUUCGGGUUGUAAAGCACUUUUGGCAGGAAAGAAACGUCAUGGGUUAAUACCCCGUGAAACUGACGGUACCUGCAGAAUAAGCACCGGCUAACUACGUGCCAGCAGCCGCGGUAAUACGUAGGGUGCAAGCGUUAAUCGGAAUUACUGGGCGUAAAGCGUGCGCAGGCGGUUCGGAAAGAAAGAUGUGAAAUCCCAGAGCUCAACUUUGGAACUGCAUUUUUAGCUACCGGGCUAGAGUGUGUCAGAGGGAGGUGGAAUUCCGCGUGUAGCAGUGAAAUGCGUAGAUAUGCGGAGGAACACCGAUGGCGAAGGCAGCCUCCUGGGAUAACACUGACGCUCAUGCACGAAAGCGUGGGGAGCAAACAGG
This 429-nucleotide ribosomal RNA is filed under the name Acidobacteriota bacterium. Its description in RNAcentral is "Acidobacteria bacterium partial 16S ribosomal RNA". It matches the Rfam family "Bacterial small subunit ribosomal RNA", at positions 355 to 776 of the family's 1533-position model. Lineage: Bacteria; Pseudomonadati; Acidobacteriota. The record is from RNAcentral.